AUGCUGCAAUGGAGAGUGGGGCAUCGAGGACAUGAACCGCCGUCUAGGGUUCGCAAGACAGGCACGAAGGGUUUCCCGGCUUGUGGGGAUCGACGUGCGAGACGCGUCCAGCCCUUGCCGGCCAUGGCAGGUCGAGGGGAGGCUCCACCGCCAGCAAAGCGCUCCUCCUCAGGCGUUGCAGGUCGGGGUGGGGCGGCUCCCCCGCCGGCAGCGAACGCCGGACGGAGAGGUCUGGCGCAGAAUGGCCAAAGGCCGCUGGCGGGAGGUGUCGGCGCGGCUGUUGCCGCGGGACGAGGUGUGCCCCCCGGUGGUGCGCCGCCUCCGGGUCUGGCCCCUUCGCAGCCGGCUCUUGGGGAAGGAAGCUUGAAGCCGACGGCGCCGGCCUCGGUGCCCGCUACUAAUACUGCCGGGAGGGGGGUCGGGAGAGCACCAGUUGCGCCGCCCCUUGUUCCCCAGGCUGCGGGUAGAGGGGGACCUAGACCUCCCGCGCCAGGUACUUCUGGAGAUGGGCCGGCUGGCCGCGGCGCCGGACAUCGGCCUGUUGGAGGCGUAACGGCAACCACAGGGAAACCACCACCGCAUUAUGUUGCUAGGCCGGUGCAGAACCGGUCCACUCAGCCUCAGUCGAUCAAUAAAGAGCCUAAUGUUCCGCCCCGAGGCCAGUGGGGGGACGACGGGUAUGAUGCAUACGGUGAAGGACAGCACCGCGGCUCCUCGUCUACGGGAGGAGGGUAUGGUUACGCUUGGCAGAGCAACGGGUCGGCUGAGAGACCGUUUUGUGGGCCGGCCGGCGGUUUCGUUGAGGGGGCCUUCGGCCCGGAUCGCCGUCAGAGAGGAGGUCAUCGUGGCAACCGUGGUGGUCGGAGCUGGGGUCGUGGGAGAUUUCGCCGCCCACCACCACCUCGGGUGUCUGUUCCUACAGAUGCUACGGAGGAGACUCAGCUUUCCUCAGAGCUUCCUCCACAGGCGAUGGAGGUGGUGAAGGGGUUGGCCAAUGUUGAGGUUACUGAGGCUGGGACGGUGGAUGAGGCUGCCGAGAGGUCUGAUGCAGAGAGGGCGUCCAAGUAUGCCCGUAAGAAGGAGAGGAUGAUUUGCUAUCGUUGUGGCGAGAAGGGCCACUUCAUUGCUAAGUGUGUGGCCCAGCUGUGUGAGUCAUGUGGCAAGCUUGCACAUGAGUCGGGAGAGUGCCCGAUUUUGCGUGACUUACCUCCGACUCUGAACAUCUAUGGAGUCUACUGUGCUGAGCUCAUGUUUUUCGAGUCCCCGGCGGCGAGAGAGGUCCCGGAGGAUAACCAGAGUUCGACUACUUGGAUUGUGAGAGCGACCCAGGGCGAGGUGACUGAGGCACAGAUUGUGAGGAGGUUGCAGGAGUUAGCUCCCGGUGAUUUUGUUUGGGAGUUGGUGCUCAUAGAAGACAGAGUUUUUAAGGUUGAUUUCCCGUCUGUUGAUGACUUGCAGAGAUUGUUGAGUUUUGGCUUGUGUAAAGUUCCCGGUACUAAGUGUAUUCUGGAGUUUAACGAGUGGAAACAGGUCGAGCCUAAAGGAAAACCGCUUACACAGGUAUGGCUGCGGUUUUUGGGGGCUCCAUCUAAGCCUCUGCAGGAUGCUCGCGUGGUGGCCAGUUUGGGCAUCAUGGUUGGAAAGACAGAAAAAGUGGACAUGGCGUUCACUCGUGCCAAUGGGAUUGCCCGGAUUCUUGUCAGCAUUCUGGAUAUUGAGUAUGUGCCUGAUAAGGUCAACUGGACUUAUAAGGGCGAGGUGUUCCCGCUAGAUAUUGAGUUCGAGGACACCGACUUAUUUGAUGAUGCGGUUAACGGCAAUGAUGUUGACAUGCACGACCGGGAGGGUGGUGCGGGGACUAAGGGGGCACUGUCAGAUGAGACCAUGCGAGAGGGAUCCAACGUUUCUCACGCUCAGUCGGCCGGGAAUGGAUUGGAGGCUCAGCCCACAGCCUCACAGGCGGUACCCAUGACUACUCUACGUUUUGGGUCUUUCGAGCCAGCCUCGGCACCUCCCAGGCUUUGGAGUGACAGGGUGGAGUCGAGUGAUGAUCUUGAGCGCACGCUUCCUUCACUGGAGUUAGAGAUGGAGACUGGUGUGUCUGUUGCUCGUCAGGCGAGUUCUUUGGGAGGCGUUGCGGCGUGGUGGCACGGUGAUGGUUCUCUUGGACUGCAGACUCCCGCGGGCGCGACUUCGGUGUCGGCGAUCGCGGGGGCGAUGGGGUGUGGGGGAGGGGGUUCGGGACAUGGAGUCCUCUCCCUCCCCGUCCUGAGGCCGAUGCAGGUGUCAUCGGUGGCGUCGGCCCCGAGGGGGUCGGCUCCGGCUGCUGGAGGGACCUCGAGGCAGGCGGCCUCGACUCCUUCGGCGAUGGUGGUGGCAACCACUGUGGCUGCUGCUGCGGGAGGGGGGACGCCAGGGCAGGAGGCCCGGUCUCCACCCUCUACUCCGAUGGUCAGGAGGACCAUCUCACCGAUGCCUUUCCCGUCCGAGCUGCCGGUUGGGGCGGGAGCAGACCGCGGGCAGGAGGCCCUGUCUUAUGCUCCUCCCCACUGCCUGAUGUGGGGCACUCGUCCAAGGGGAUCGGGAGCCCGCAGACGCCUUCUCUAG
This 2607-nucleotide ribosomal RNA is filed under the name Triticum aestivum (bread wheat). RNAcentral describes it as "partial small subunit ribosomal RNA". The record is from RNAcentral. Lineage: Eukaryota; Viridiplantae; Streptophyta; Magnoliopsida; Poales; Poaceae.